This 498-nucleotide long non-coding RNA is filed under the name Chlamydomonas reinhardtii. Its description in RNAcentral is "long non-coding RNA (CREI_LNC000673)". Lineage: Eukaryota; Viridiplantae; Chlorophyta; Chlorophyceae; Chlamydomonadales; Chlamydomonadaceae. The record is from RNAcentral.
GACGAGGUCAAGACCAAGGGCAAGGCCGCCAUUGACGUGAUCUGCAACCCGCUGGGCAAGUCCGGCGGUGCCCUGAUCCAGCAGUUCAUGAUCAUCGGCCUGGGCUCGCUGGCCGCCUCGACCCCGUACCUGGGCGCCAUCCUGUGCGUCAUCAUCGUGGCCUGGAUCAACGCCGCCGCCUCGCUGAACAAGCAGUUCACGGCGCUGCAGGAGGAGACCGGCAUGUACAUCACCGGCGAGAAGCCCGCCAACAAGUCCGAGAAGAAGGACUAAGCGGCUCGGCCCUGACCGUGGUAGAGGGUCAGCCGUGACCAGACGCCCUGACGGGUCGGCCUGGGUGGUGGUGGUGUGUAGACGAGAGAGGUGAGAGAUCAGACGGCCUCGGCGGAGCUCGUGAAGAUUGGCCAUUGACGCAUUCAGUUGGUGCUGGAGACUCAUGACGAAGACACGGACUCAGGAGGACUGGUGGGCGCACUGCGGUCGGCACCCGGCGACGGC